This 77-nucleotide transfer RNA is filed under the name Parabacteroides distasonis. RNAcentral describes it as "tRNA-Arg". It matches the Rfam family "tRNA". Rfam says of the family: Transfer RNA (tRNA) molecules are approximately 80 nucleotides in length. Their secondary structure includes four short double-helical elements and three loops (D, anti-codon, and T loops). Further hydrogen bonds mediate the characteristic L-shaped molecular structure. tRNAs have two regions of fundamental functional importance: the anti-codon, which is responsible for specific mRNA codon recognition, and the 3' end, to which the tRNAs corresponding amino acid is attached (by aminoacyl-tRNA synthetases). tRNAs cope with the degeneracy of the genetic code in two manners: having more than one tRNA (with a specific anti-codon) for a particular amino acid; and 'wobble' base-pairing, i.e. permitting non-standard base-pairing at the 3rd anti-codon position. Lineage: Bacteria; Pseudomonadati; Bacteroidota; Bacteroidia; Bacteroidales; Tannerellaceae. The record is from RNAcentral.
GGUCAGGUAGCUCAGCUGGAUAGAGCAACAGCCUUCUAAGCUGUGGGUCGAGGGUUCGAAUCCCUCCUCGAUCACGA